AUGAAAUUUUUCUCUAACUUUGACCACACGCCAACAGCCGUUGCUUCUUCAUUAACCAAGAACACAACAUCCCUCUCAAGGCAUAAGAUUAUGGCUGCCCGUGCUUCAAGAACUAACUCUUCUCAAUCCUCAUCCUUCAUACUCUCAGCAAAAGAUCUUGUAAGAAAAAUGUUGAACUCAGAUGAUAAGCAGAGGCUAACAACAUAUGAAGUUUUGAAUCGUCCAUGGAUUAAGGAAGGUGGAGAAUUGCCAGACAGUGUCUUCGAUGAACAACACACAUUGACAGAUGACAAGGUUGAAGUUGUUGUCUUGUAUCCAGGCAUGUGA
Vicia faba (fava bean) is the source of this 327-nucleotide non-coding RNA. Lineage: Eukaryota; Viridiplantae; Streptophyta; Magnoliopsida; Fabales; Fabaceae. The record is from the annotation of a GenBank genome assembly.